AUUGAACGCUGGCGGCAUGCCUUACACAUGCAAGUCGAGCGGCAGCGCGGGGGCAACCCUGGCGGCGAGCGGCGAACGGGUGAGUAAUACAUCGGAACGUGUCCAGUAGCGGGGGAUAACCUGUCGAAAGAUAGGCUAAUACCGCAUACGACCUACGGGUGAAAGCGGGGGACCGCAAGGCCACGCACUAUUGGAGCUGCCGAUGUCGGAUUAGCUAGUUGGCGGGGUAACGGCCCACCAAGGCGACGAUCCGUAGCUGGUCUGAGAGGACGACCAGCCACACUGGAACUGAGACACGGUCCAGACUCCUACGGGAGGCAGCAGUGGGGAAUUUUGGACAAUGGGCGCAAGCCUGAUCCAGCCAUGCCGCGUGAGUGAAGAAGGCCUUCGGGUUGUAAAGCUCUUUCGGCGGGGACGAAACGGUCCGUGCCAACACCACGGAUCAAUGACGGUACUCGCAGAAGAAGCACCGGCUAACUACGUGCCAGCCGCCGCCGUAA
RNAcentral lists this ribosomal RNA (500 nucleotides) under uncultured bacterium. RNAcentral describes it as "partial 16S ribosomal RNA". It matches the Rfam family "Bacterial small subunit ribosomal RNA", at positions 29 to 523 of the family's 1533-position model. The record is from RNAcentral.